UAGACCGAUCAAAGUCAUCGACUUCGGUUUGACGCACGACAUCGCGGACGCCAGACCGGGCUCGUAUAUUCAGAGUCGCCCCUACCGUUCUCCGGAGAUCUUGGUGGGCGCGCCGUACAACGAGGCAAUCGACGUUUGGUCCAUGGGCUGCGUGACGGCUUUUCUGUACACGGGUACGCUGAUUUUCCCCGGCGAGAAUGACUACGAAAUGGUAAAUAGCCAUCUGGGCUCCAAUUGUGCGAUCACUACUUUGUUAUACCAAAUUGGUAAUCACGACGGUUAGGGUCAUGUAAAACGGGGUUACGGUUGGAAGGUUACCGUACGGUUAGUUUCGAGGGUUUAGUGAAACUAUUGUGUGGUAUCCAGUGGAGUUUCCUCGAAUAACCCCAUGUUUUCCUUUAAAGUCAAAGGUUUCCAUGGCAACUCUGUUGUGUUCAGAUCACGUACAUCACAGAGACUCAAGGAGCUUUUCCAGACAACCUUCUGGUCUCUG
Long non-coding RNA from Syngnathus acus (greater pipefish), 493 nucleotides. RefSeq lists it as uncharacterized. The transcript is spliced from 2 exons. The record is from RefSeq and is a predicted model, not a curated record. Lineage: Eukaryota; Metazoa; Chordata; Actinopteri; Syngnathiformes; Syngnathidae.